CACACGUUUAAAAGCUGAAGCGAGGUCACUUCCUCUGCAAAACCCCAAGACAGAGACGCCCAUCGUACUGGUUUUUCAGGCAAAAUGAAGCUUGUUCUUCUCCAAACACUCUGCUUCGCUAUUCUAUGGGUCGGCGUGGCCCCCAACCACAGGGGUGACAUAAUGUAUGGGCUUUCCCAGGCUGAAGCCCAGGGGCCUCCGCUAAAAAGCAGCCUCACCAAGGGGCUCCAGUUGGCAACUUCUACUGUCGCCACCCCACCCCCCGCGGAUGACAACAUUUACCUUGGUGGGGGCCCUGAAAACCCCCAACCCUGCAUGACUACCAGGAACAACAAUGCCUACAACAUCUUCCUGGCAAAGCAUGUCCGCAAUGACACCCCAAUCAACGAGGACAUGGCAGCAUGGAAGAGGUUUUUUUCACAUAACCAAAACCUGUGCAACAGGCCGACACAGUCAUUCCUCCGGUACAACGAUAAAAGCCUGAUCAACAAUGUCUGUACAUCAAAUGGAGGGAAGAUUUAUGAGAGAAACCUGUGCAUCAGCAACCGCACGUUCUCCUUCAUAACAGUGAGGAUAAAGCAGGGCUGUGAAAUCAGUAGCAUCACCAGAGAGACCAACCACAUCAUCCUGGCGUGUGACAAAAUCGACAAUGUUUGCAGGCCGGUUCACUUUGAGGGAAACCAAAAUAACCUAAAGCCAAAUCCUAAGGCUCCAGGCUGUCAAUACCACUAGCCUGUUUCAAGUGCCGAAAUGUCCACAGUCACAGCAGCCUUGCUUAUAGCAUCGAGAAUAUUUCAUGCAAAGUUUUUAUCAGUAUAGACGCUUUAUGCUCCUAUUUAGAAAAUGCAUGCCUAAUAUGUUAAGAAUAAUGUUCAAAUUGCAGAAAGUAACGCAUCUGUGGAAUGAUACAGAAAAAUGCUAUGUUAUGCCAGAUGGAUCCUGCGCUCUGAAAAAGCACGUUCCGAAGUACCUGUUCUUGUACUUGUACAAAUGGAAAAUAAAGCUUCAUUUCAUUGCA
Molecule: non-coding RNA, 1018 nt
Organism: Paramormyrops kingsleyae
Lineage: Eukaryota; Metazoa; Chordata; Actinopteri; Osteoglossiformes; Mormyridae
Source: RefSeq, a predicted model, not a curated record